AAGAAAUUAGUUUAAAUAAAACAUUAGACUGUCAGACUAAAAAUAUUACUCAUAAUAUUUCUUA
Molecule: transfer RNA, 64 nt
Filed under: Hospesneotomae barberi
Lineage: Eukaryota; Metazoa; Arthropoda; Insecta; Hemiptera; Reduviidae
Description: Triatoma barberi tRNA-Asp
Rfam family: tRNA
About the family: Transfer RNA (tRNA) molecules are approximately 80 nucleotides in length.
Source: RNAcentral